This 410-nucleotide ribosomal RNA is filed under the name uncultured microorganism. Its description in RNAcentral is "bacterial SSU rRNA". It matches the Rfam family "Bacterial small subunit ribosomal RNA", at positions 509 to 917 of the family's 1533-position model. The record is from RNAcentral.
CAGCCGCCGCGGUAAUUCGUAGGGGGCGAGCGUUGUCCGGAAUUAUUGGGCGUAAAGCGCGCGCAGGCGGUCUCUUAAGUCUGAUGUGAAAGCCCACGGCUCAACCGUGGAGGGUCAUUGGAAACUGGGGGACUUGAGGGCAGGAGAGGAGAGCGGAAUUCCACGUGUAGCGGUGAAAUGCGUAGAGAUGUGGAGGAACACCAGUGGCGAAGGCGGCUCUCUGGCCUGCACCUGACGCUGAGGCGCGAAAGCGUGGGGAGCAAACAGGAUUAGAUACCCUGGUAGUCCACGCCGUAAACGAUGAGUGCUAAGUGUUAGAGGGGUCACACCCUUUAGUGCUGCAGCUAACGCGAUAAGCACUCCGCCUGGGGAGUACGGCCGCAAGGCUGAAACUUAAAGGAAUUGGCGGG